RNAcentral lists this ribosomal RNA (291 nucleotides) under unidentified marine eubacterium p712-19. RNAcentral's name for it is "partial 16S ribosomal RNA". It matches the Rfam family "Bacterial small subunit ribosomal RNA", at positions 527 to 817 of the family's 1533-position model. The record is from RNAcentral.
GAAGGGACCUAGCGUAGUUCGGAAUUACUGGGCUUAAAGAGUUCGUAGGUGGUUAAAAAAGUUGGUUGUGAAAUCCCGGAGCUUAACUCCGGAACUGCAAUCAAAACUUUUUAGCUAGAGUAUGAUAGAGGAAAGCAGAAUUUCUAGUGUAGAGGUGAAAUUCGUAGAUAUUAGAAAGAAUACCAAUUGCGAAGGCAGCUUUCUGGAUCAUUACUGACACUGAGGAACGAAAGCAUGGGUAGCGAAGAGGAUUAGAUACCCUCGUAGUCCAUGCCGUAAACGAUGUGUGUU